Long non-coding RNA from Hypomesus transpacificus, 1132 nucleotides. RefSeq lists it as uncharacterized. The record is from RefSeq and is a predicted model, not a curated record. The transcript is spliced from 2 exons. NCBI's taxonomy places the organism in Eukaryota, Metazoa, Chordata, Actinopteri, Osmeriformes, Osmeridae.
GUUACACCACAGGAAAAGACCUGAAGGGAUGAACAUGUAAACCAAGACUUUAACCAACGGUCACUCUUUGAAUUAACAGGUUUCAAAGCAACAUCACCACAGACAGCUUGCCAAUGGACAUCAAUGAAACCUUUUCCAGUACUUUUGUAUAGCUGCUUGUAUAGCAUGAAGUGAUCAGUACUUUCCUCGUAUCUCUGAGAUUGCGUUUUGAAUCAGAUGUAGUAGGUGUGAAAUUGAAAAGGAAAUAAGAAUUAUAAUCUCCUCCUCAACUACACCGGCAACAAAAUGUUAUCUAUGGCUCUGGUUACUUUGACAGGAAAGGAUUGGAGUAAGUAACGAGGAUUGAAUUCUGUUCUUUUAUACUGUUUGUUUUUUUACUCAGUGACCUAAAAAUUAGGUGUUGAUGGCUCAACAUUCUAAUGUUUAGUGUUGCUUUCCUGACAAAAAGGCUUGAGAUUUUAAACAAACAAAUGUUGUUAUGCGUCAAUGACAUCAGAGACACCUGUUGCUCAUUGAUGCACAAUGAUGAAUGACUAGUGUACAACACGCAAUAUAAGACCAGACAAACCAGCUAGGGCAGGUAAGUCUGAAUAGUUUUGUCAGCAAUCUCUAUAGGAUCAGCUAUUUGGUCACAAGGGCUGCUUUGGAAUGGAGAUGGACCUGGAAUGGAAGUAAAGAGGCUUUUCUUUGUACAUAGAGUAAACCAUUGAAAUGGUGGCCUCAGGAAAACGUCAAAGUCCUUUGAUGGGACUUGCUCUUACUUGCUUUUCAAUGAUUAAAAAGGAGACUACAGGUGUCAAUAUAAGGUGGGAGGUCAGAAGAUGCAUGAGUUUUCAGUAUUUAUUUACAGUUAUUUUGUCAGUGACUUAAAAGAAGACAGAAUGUAUCUGGGUGAUUUUUGCUUUUGAUGAAGAUAAGAAUGACCCAAGAAGAUUGGAUGGAUUUCAGGCUCCAGGGAGAAGUUGAAGAUAUUUCCUUUUUCACUCAACUUAACUCUGCUUUAAAUUCCUCAUUUGCUUAGUUCAAUAGUUAAAUCACAAACAUCGUUUUUCUUGGUUUUAUAUUGAUAGCUACAUACCAAUGUAUAUGUGAACACAGAAAGUAUAAGUGUGAUUAAAUAUGUAUUCUUGAA